CCUACGGGUGGCAGCAGUCGGGAAUCUUUCACAAUGGGGGAAACCCUGAUGGUGCGACGCCGCGUGGGGGAAUGAAGGUCUUCGGAUUGUAAACCCCUGUUAUGUGGGAGCAAAUUAAAAAGAUAGUACCACAAGAGGAAGAGACGGCUCACUCUGUGCCAGCAGCCGCGGUAAUACAGCGGGCUCAAGCGUGGUUCGGAAUCAUUGGGCUUAAGGGGUGCGUAGGCGGGUUCGUAAGUUGUGUGUGAAAGGCCCGGGCUCAACCCGCGGACAGCACAUGAUACUGGGAGGCUAGAGUAGUGGAGGGGUAACCGGAAUGCGCGGUGUAGCAGUGAAAUGCGUAGAUAUCGAGAGGAACACUCGUGGCGAAGGCGGGUUCCUGGACACUAACUGACGCUGAGGCACGAAGGCCAGGGGAGCGAAAGGGAUUAGAUACCCGGGUAGUC
RNAcentral lists this ribosomal RNA (446 nucleotides) under uncultured bacterium. RNAcentral describes it as "partial 16S ribosomal RNA". It matches the Rfam family "Bacterial small subunit ribosomal RNA", at positions 338 to 795 of the family's 1533-position model. The record is from RNAcentral.